RNAcentral lists this ribosomal RNA (1375 nucleotides) under Staphylococcus sp. L1(2014b). Its description in RNAcentral is "bacterial SSU rRNA". It matches the Rfam family "Bacterial small subunit ribosomal RNA", at positions 70 to 1430 of the family's 1533-position model. The record is from RNAcentral. Lineage: Bacteria; Bacillati; Bacillota; Bacilli; Caryophanales; Staphylococcaceae.
GAUAAGGAGCUUGCUCCUUUGACGUUAGCGGCGGACGGGUGAGUAACACGUGGGUAACCUACCUAUAAGACUGGGAUAACUUCGGGAAACCGGAGCUAAUACCGGAUAACAUUUGGAACCGCAUGGUUCUAAAGUGAAAGAUGGUUUUGCUAUCACUUAUAGAUGGACCCGCGCCGUAUUAGCUAGUUGGUAAGGUAACGGCUUACCAAGGCGACGAUACGUAGCCGACCUGAGGGGUGAUCGGCCACACUGGAACUGAGACACGGUCCAGACUCCUACGGGAGGCAGCAGUAGGGAAUCUUCCGCAAUGGGCGAAAGCUGACGGAGCAACGCCGCGUGAGUGAUGAAGGGUUUCGGCUCGUAAACUCUGUUAUUAGGGAAGAACAAAUGUGUAAGUAACUGUGCACAUCUUGACGGUACCUAAUCAGAAAGCCACGGCUAACUACGUGCCAGCAGCCGCGGUAAUACGUAGGUGGCAAGCGUUAUCCGGAAUUAUUGGGCGUAAAGCGCGCGUAGGCGGUUUCUUAAGUCUGAUGUGAAAGCCCACGGCUCAACCGUGGAGGGUCAUUGGAAACUGGGAAACUUGAGUGCAGAAGAGGAAAGUGGAAUUCCAUGUGUAGCGGUGAAAUGCGCAGAGAUAUGGAGGAACACCAGUGGCGAAGGCGACUUUCUGGUCUGUAACUGACGCUGAUGUGCGAAAGCGUGGGGAUCAAACAGGAUUAGAUACCCUGGUAGUCCACGCCGUAAACGAUGAGUGCUAAGUGUUAGGGGGUUUCCGCCCCUUAGUGCUGCAGCUAACGCAUUAAGCACUCCGCCUGGGGAGUACGACCGCAAGGUUGAAACUCAAAGGAAUUGACGGGGACCCGCACAAGCGGUGGAGCAUGUGGUUUAAUUCGAAGCAACGCGAAGAACCUUACCAAAUCUUGACAUCCUUUGAAAACUCUAGUAGAUAGUAGCCUUCCCCUUCGGGGGACAAAGUGACAGGUGGUGCAUGGUUGUCGUCAGCUCGUGUCGUGAGAUGUUGGGUUAAGUCCCGCAACGAGCGCAACCCUUAAGCUUAGUUGCCAUCAUUAAGUUGGGCACUCUAGGUUGACUGCCGGUGACAAACCGGAGGAAGGUGGGGAUGACGUCAAAUCAUCAUGCCCCUUAUGAUUUGGGCUACACACGUGCUACAAUGGACAAUACAAAGGGCAGCUAAACCGCGAGGUCAUGCAAAUCCCAUAAAGUUGUUCUCAGUUCGGAUUGUAGUCUGCAACUCGACUACAUGAAGCUGGAAUCGCUAGUAAUCGUAGAUCAGCAUGCUACGGUGAAUACGUUCCCGGGUCUUGUACACACCGCCCGUCACACCACGAGAGUUUGUAACACCCGAAGCCGG